AGUGAACGCUGGCGGUAGGCCUAACACAUGCAAGUCGAACGGCAGCACAGUAAGAGCUUGCUCUUACGGGUGGCGAGUGGCGGACGGGUGAGGAAUACAUCGGAAUCUACUUUUUCGUGGGGGAUAACGUAGGGAAACUUACGCUAAUACCGCAUACGACCUACGGGUGAAAGCAGGGAAUCUUCGGACCUUGCGGGAUUGAAUGAGCCGAUGUCGGAUUAGCUAGUUGGCGGGGUAAAGGCCCACCAAGGCGACGAUCCGUAGCUGGUCUGAGAGGAUGAUCAGCCACACUGGAACUGAGACACGGUCCAGACUCCUACGGGAGGCAGCAGUGGGGAAUAUUGGACAAUGGGCGCAAGCCUGAUCCAGCCAUACCGCGUGGGUGAAGAAGGCCUUCGGGUUGUAAAGCCCUUUUGUUGGGAAAGAAAAGCAGCAGGUUAAUACCCCGCUGUUCUGACGGUACCCAAAGAAUAAGCACCGGCUAACUUCGUG
Molecule: ribosomal RNA, 492 nt
Filed under: uncultured bacterium
Lineage: Bacteria
Description: partial 16S ribosomal RNA
Rfam family: Bacterial small subunit ribosomal RNA
Source: RNAcentral